Molecule: transfer RNA, 121 nt
Filed under: candidate division MSBL1 archaeon SCGC-AAA261G05
Lineage: Archaea; Methanobacteriati; Methanobacteriota
Description: candidate divison MSBL1 archaeon SCGC-AAA261G05 tRNA
Rfam family: tRNA
About the family: Transfer RNA (tRNA) molecules are approximately 80 nucleotides in length. Their secondary structure includes four short double-helical elements and three loops (D, anti-codon, and T loops).
Source: Rfam by way of RNAcentral
GCCGGGGUAACUCAGUCGGUAAGAGUGCCAGACUCAUAACCUCGAUCGUCGGUUGUGAGUACUGAUCCACGAGAUGAUGUGGGAGAUCUGGAAGUCGUGGGUUCAAUCCCCACCCCCGGCA